CGGAUCCCAUCAGAACUCCGCAGUGAAGCGUGCUUGGGCGAGAGUAGUACUAGGAUGGGUGACCUCUUGGGAAGUCCUCGUGUUGCAUUGU
This 91-nucleotide ribosomal RNA is filed under the name Vigna angularis (adzuki bean). Lineage: Eukaryota; Viridiplantae; Streptophyta; Magnoliopsida; Fabales; Fabaceae. The record is from RNAcentral.